RNAcentral lists this ribosomal RNA (789 nucleotides) under uncultured archaeon. RNAcentral describes it as "bacterial SSU rRNA". It matches the Rfam family "Archaeal small subunit ribosomal RNA", at positions 85 to 879 of the family's 1478-position model. The record is from RNAcentral.
ACGGCUCAGUAACACGUGGAUAACCUGCCCUGCGGUGGGAAAUAACCCCGGGAAACUGGGGAUAAUGUCCCAUAGGUUACGGAUGCUGGAAUGCUCUGUAACUCAAAGAUUUAUCGCCACAGGAUGGGUCUGCGGCCGAUUAGGUAGUUGUUGGGGUAACGGCCCAACAAGCCUUUGAUCGGUACGGGUUGUGGGAGCAAGAGCCCGGAGAUGGAUUCUGAGACACGAAUCCAGGCCCUACGGGGCGCAGCAGGCGCGAAAACUUUACAAUGCGGGAAACCGUGAUAAGGGAACUCCGAGUGUCCGUAAAUGCGGACUGUCCGUAUGUCUAAAAAGCAUGCGAAGAAAGGGCCGGGCAAGACCGGUGCCAGCCGCCGCGGUAAUACCGGCGGCUCGAGUGGUGGCCACUAUUAUUGGGCUUAAAGCGUUCGUAGCUGGAUUGUUAAGUCUCUUGGGAAAUCUACCGGCUUAACCGAUAGGCGUCCAAGGGAUACUGGCAAUCUAGGGACCGGGAGAGGUGAGGGGUACUUCAGGGGUAGGAGUGAAAUCCUGUAAUCCUUGGGGGACCACCUGUGGCGAAGGCGCCUCACCAGAACGGCUCCGACAGUGAGGGACGAAAGCUGGGGGAGCAAACCGGAUUAGAUACCCGGGUAGUCUCAGCCGUAAACGAUGCGCGUUAGGUGUAUCGAUGACCACGAGUCAUCGAGGUGCCGAAGGGAAACCGUGAAACGCGCCGCCUGGGAAGUACGGUCGCAAGGCUGAAACUUAAAGGAAUUGGCGGGGGAACAC